Molecule: small nuclear RNA, 139 nt
Filed under: Microtus ochrogaster (prairie vole)
Lineage: Eukaryota; Metazoa; Chordata; Mammalia; Rodentia; Cricetidae
Description: U12 minor spliceosomal RNA (ENSMOCG00000008580.1)
Source: RNAcentral
AUGACUUAAACAUAACUAGGAAAAAUAAUGGUUCAGGGUGACAUCAGAGUCCUUGCUGCUCAUAGGAAAUUUUUCUGAGCUGGGGCCCCUGGGUAGACUCACAUACAUUGUAAGAUGCAUACCUGUGGUAGCAUGCCAG